CACAAGGAGGUGAUUCUGACUAAGAAUAACUUGGCAAAGCGAAGAUGGGAGGGUAGUCAACGAUGUCGCUUUUGUGAUCAAGAUGAAACUAUUAAACACCUCUUCCUCGAUUGUCCGCUAGCCACACUACUAACAAGGCGCCUACGCGCCGCCCGCAAAGACUCCUAUGUGAGGGUUGCUUGCAUGUGGGAGCUCGUACUGGGCUGGCCUAGUAACCACGUGGCCUCAUCAUGCUGA
Molecule: ribosomal RNA, 237 nt
Filed under: Triticum aestivum (bread wheat)
Lineage: Eukaryota; Viridiplantae; Streptophyta; Magnoliopsida; Poales; Poaceae
Description: partial small subunit ribosomal RNA
Source: RNAcentral